This 385-nucleotide ribosomal RNA is filed under the name uncultured bacterium. RNAcentral describes it as "bacterial SSU rRNA". It matches the Rfam family "Bacterial small subunit ribosomal RNA", at positions 28 to 416 of the family's 1533-position model. The record is from RNAcentral.
GACGAACGCUGGCGGCGUGCUUAACACAUGCAAGUCGAACGGAAAGGCCCUGCUUGCAGGGUACUCGAGUGGCGAACGGGUGAGUAACACGUGGGUGAUCUGCCCUGCACUUUGGGAUAAGCCUGGGAAACUGGGUCUAAUACCGGAUAGGAGCCAUUUUUAGUGUGAUGGUUGGAAAGUUUUUCGGUGUAGGAUGAGCUCGCGGCCUAUCAGCUUGUUGGUGGGGUAAUGGCCUACCAAGGCGGCGACGGGUAGCCGGCCUGAGAGGGUGGACGGCCACAUUGGGACUGAGAUACGGCCCAGACUCCUACGGGAGGCAGCAGUGGGGAAUAUUGCACAAUGGGCGCAAGCCUGAUGCAGCGACGCCGCGUGGGGGAUGACGGCC